This 487-nucleotide ribosomal RNA is filed under the name uncultured bacterium. RNAcentral describes it as "partial 16S ribosomal RNA". It matches the Rfam family "Bacterial small subunit ribosomal RNA", at positions 28 to 507 of the family's 1533-position model. The record is from RNAcentral.
GAUGAACGCUAGCGAUAGGCUUAACACAUGCAAGUCGAGGGGCAGCACAAGGUAGCUUGCUAUCUGGGUGGCGACCGGCGCACGGGUGCGUAACGCGUAUGCAACUUGCCCUAUACAGGAGGAUAACCCGUCGAAAGACGGACUAAUACUGCGUAUGCUCACAACUUGGCAUCAAGUGGUGAGGAAAGAAAUUCGGUAUAGGAUAGGCAUGCGUCCCAUUAGCUUGUUGGUGAGGUAACGGCUCACCAAGGCAGCGAUGGGUAGGGGAACUGAGAGGUUUAUCCCCCACACUGGUACUGAGACACGAACCAGACUCCUACGGGAGGCAGCAGGGAGGAAUAUUGGUCAAUGGGCGCGAGCCUGAACCAGCCAAGUCGCGUGAAGGAUGACUGUCUUAUGGAUUGUAAACUUCUUUUAUACGGGAAUAACAAGAGUCACGUGUGACUCCCUGCAUGUACCGUAUGAAUAAGCAUCGGCUAACUCCGUG